This 572-nucleotide ribosomal RNA is filed under the name uncultured bacterium. Its description in RNAcentral is "partial 16S ribosomal RNA". It matches the Rfam family "Bacterial small subunit ribosomal RNA", at positions 355 to 919 of the family's 1533-position model. The record is from RNAcentral.
UGGGGAAUUUUGGACAAUGGGCGCAAGCCUGAUCCAGCCAUGCCGCGUGCGGGAAGAAGGCCUUCGGGUUGUAAACCGCUUUUGUCAGGGAAGAAAUCUUCUGAGUUAAUACCUCGGGAGGAUGACGGUACCUGAAGAAUAAGCACCGGCUAACUACGUGCCAGCAGCCGCGGUAAUACGUAGGGUGCAAGCGUUAAUCGGAAUUACUGGGCGUAAAGCGUGCGCAGGCGGUCUUGUAAGACAGAGGUGAAAUCCCCGGGCUCAACCUGGGAACUGCCUUUGUGACUGCAAGGCUUGAGUGCGGCAGAGGGGGGAUGGAAUUCCGCGUGUAGCAGUGAAAUGCGUAGAUAUGCGGAGGAACACCGAUGGCGAAGGCAAUCCCCUGGGCCUGCACUGACGCUCAUGCACGAAAGCGUGGGGAGCAAACAGGAUUAGAUACCCUGGUAGUCCACGCCCUAAACGAUGUCAACUGGUUGUUGGGAAGGUUCCUUCUCAGUAACGUAGCUAGCGCGUGAAGUUGACCGCCUGGGGAGUACGGCCGCAAGGUUGAAACUUAAAUGAAUUGACGGGGU